This is a long non-coding RNA of Vulpes vulpes (red fox), 1558 nucleotides long. NCBI's taxonomy places the organism in Eukaryota, Metazoa, Chordata, Mammalia, Carnivora, Canidae. The record is from Ensembl.
GCCGCCGCCGCCGCCGCCGCAGGGCCCCGGGCUCCUGCAGGGCGCGAGGCCUCCCUCACCAGGGAAACCCGCCCAGGCCAGGAGGAGCUGCGAGAGAUGGGGAGAGUCAUAGAGAGAGGAGAUGCGCUCACAGAUUACCCCCUCCUGCUCUGCUCCCGACCGCUAGGUUAGGCCCUGCAGCUUGGGGGAUCCUGGCCCUCACUCAGCCGCUACCCUCUUCUCCUCCGGCCACCCGCUGAAACAUUCGGGAUUCCCGGGGAAGUUGUCAGCAGUGUGGGAUUCACCCACGGGAACUCCAGGGCACUGCAUUUUUCUGGCAAGAAGGGAUGCACUUGGGCCACCUGCUGCAACCCCCUUGCUCCCCGGGUGCUCCCCGAUCGACCCGGCCACCUCACUGCCCCUGGCCGGCCCAGCUCCCAGCCUCAAACGCUCACCUUACCCGACUCUCUGGCCACGAAAAUUUGUCAUUACGAGGAGGGCUUUAUCCCGGAGCUAUUGUGUUUGUACCUCUCUGGAUUAGCCGGGACCCUGGGGUGUGUUUGUUCCCGGACCUUUGACAGCACGCUUCAAGGGAAAGGAGAGCUCACAACACGGAGAGGAGAAGCAAGGGAAGAUCAUUUCCUCCAGAUCGGGAGACAAGAGGCGAGCUUCCAAAAGCACCAAGUGUUCUCUGUUCCUCCCCACCCGCUGGACAACCCCCCACCGGGGAAAGUGUGCGAGCACCCGGGGCCCAGAGCGGGCAAGAGGCCUCCCCGCGUGCCUGCGCUCCGCCGGCCCUUGCUCCCCGGCCGUGCCCACCCUGCCAGCCCGGCUCGCGCUCGCCUCUCCGCCGUCUGCCACCUCAUGGACCUCAAGCAAUUUGUUACAUAAAAGAAAACAGCCACCACACACAUGUGCCUGCAGCCCCGCAGCGACGGACACCCAGGGAGGCCUCGUCCCCUUCUCCUCCUCCCGCCAGCGCCACCAGGCCAGUCUGCCCAGCGACCAGGAGCGAAGCGGGGUUGGCACUUGCAACCCCUUCCCCUUCCCCGAUCGCCGUGCUGGUUAAAAAAAACCUCCCUCCGGUUACCCCCACCGUGAAGGAAGGGGUGAUCGGAAAUACUCGGUCCAUGCACAAAGACGUACCACAAAACGAAUGCACAUUUCUGUGUGAAAAGGCUCAGAGGCGGAGGAGACAACGUCUUAGUGGAGCCCAGAAGUGAUGGGAAUGAGCGGGCGCUAGAGAACACUGGGCUUUGGGGCUCUGGCCCCACACACCUCACCAGGACCCUAAUUCCCUGCCACCUCCGGCGGGUCCCCGGACACAAAUCGCCUUAAAUUCCAAAAGAGGGGUUCUCAGCCACCCGCCUCCCACAUACCUGCCCCUUCCUGAGGCUCUCUCUGUGUGGCCCUGAGCUGCUGGGCGGCCCAACAGGAAGCUCCACCAAUGAGUGCCCAGGGGCGCCCACUCCCAUCCACUCACUGCACCCCCGACUUACCCCCACCUCAUAUAUCAGCUGCGAAAAGGCAGGGUGGAAAGAGCAAUAAAGGCAAAUGCAGCUUCCCCUGUCUCUGGGCU